UUUGGUGGAGUAUCCGCGUGUCAGCUGAGGGUCUGAUCAACCUUUCAGCCAGGGUCUCCUCCCGGUAUAGAGCUCUCGUGUCGUGUCGUUUAACUUCAUCUUGUGGAUUUAUCUUUUGGAUCUAUUUUUUGGUUUUUGGAUUUUUCACUUUGGACUUGGUCCCGGUCGGCUCAUCAUGCUCCUGGUGUCUGUUCUGCUGGUCAGCUGCUCCUGGAGUGCGACAGUUUCACUUUCUGGUUCAACUGCCUGAUCCUGUUCUCACAGAAGUCAUUGACUUCAAAGGGUCUAGUUGUGUGCAUAAAGGUAUUAUGUUUCCCCUGCAAGGACUUGACAUCACUAAACACUUGAAAGCAUAAGGAAUGUAGCUUCCUGCUCUGCUGUACGGGUAAUCUGGUGUCAGCAAUUCUCCUAGGAGAAACACAGAACGCUGAACUCAGGCCAUGACAGACAUUUGCAGCCAAAAGCUUUCAGACCUGGCUACCAGAGGUACACUUACAAAAUGGAGUAAAUACAAGCUGAACAACUUGUUUGCUGCAUAAGACAGGUGUCUAUACUGCUUGCAUCACUAUAGUAUGUGACCCGACUGAUGCAGAUUUUACUGUAAUUUAAAGAGAAAGGAAUACUGGACACAUACCCAGCCUCCGUUGUCCUGGAUCCAGUUGUGUAGAUGUCU
This is a long non-coding RNA of Mauremys mutica (yellowpond turtle), 673 nucleotides long. RefSeq lists it as uncharacterized. Lineage: Eukaryota; Metazoa; Chordata; Testudines; Geoemydidae. The record is from RefSeq and is a predicted model, not a curated record. The transcript is spliced from 5 exons.